UGGGGAAUAUUGGACAAUGGGCGCAAGCCUGAUCCAGCAAUGCCGCGUGUGUGAAGAAGGCCUUCGGGUUGUAAAGCACUUUUAUCAGGAACGAAAUACCACGGGUUAAUAACCUAUGGGGCUGACGGUACCUGAGGAAUAAGCACCGGCUAACUUCGUGCCAGCAGCCGCGGUAAUACGAAGGGUGCAAGCGUUAAUCGGAAUUACUGGGCGUAAAGGGUGCGUAGGCGGUUAUUUAAGUCUGCCGUGAAAUCCCCGGGCUCAACCUGGGAAUGGCGGUGGAUACUGGAUAGCUAGAGUGUGUCAGAGGAUGGUGGAAUUCCCGGUGUAGCGGUGAAAUGCGUAGAGAUCGGGAGGAACAUCAGUGGCGAAGGCGGCCAUCUGGGACAACACUGACGCUGAAGCACGAAAGCGUGGGGAGCAAACAG
RNAcentral lists this ribosomal RNA (428 nucleotides) under uncultured bacterium. Its description in RNAcentral is "bacterial SSU rRNA". It matches the Rfam family "Bacterial small subunit ribosomal RNA", at positions 355 to 775 of the family's 1533-position model. The record is from RNAcentral.